RNAcentral lists this ribosomal RNA (478 nucleotides) under uncultured Pelotomaculum sp. RNAcentral's name for it is "bacterial SSU rRNA". It matches the Rfam family "Bacterial small subunit ribosomal RNA", at positions 906 to 1382 of the family's 1533-position model. Lineage: Bacteria; Bacillati; Bacillota; Clostridia; Eubacteriales; Desulfotomaculaceae. The record is from RNAcentral.
GGAAUUGACGGGGCCGCACAAGCGUGGAGUAUGUGGUUUAAUUCGACGCAACGCGAAGAACCUUUACCAGGUCUUGACAUCUCCUGAUGCGCUUACGAAAGUAAGUUUUCUUCUUUGGAAGACAGGAAGACAGGUGGUGCAUGGUUGUCGUCAGCUCGUGUCGUGAGAUGUUGGGUUAAGUCCCGCAACGAGCGCAACCCCUACGUUUAGUUGCUAACGCGUGAAGGCGAGCACUCUAGACGAACUGCCGUUGACAAAACGGAGGAAGGUGGGGAUGACGUCAAAUCAUCAUGCCCCUUAUGUUCUGGGCUACACACGUGCUACAAUGGCCGGUACAGACGGACGCAAAGCCGCGAGGUGGAGCAAAUCCUAAAAAGCCGGUCUCAGUUCGGAUUGCAGGCUGCAAUUCGCCUGCAUGAAGUCGGAAUCGCUAGUAAUCGCAGGUCAGCAUACUGCGGUGAAUACGUUCCCGGGCCUU